Molecule: ribosomal RNA, 506 nt
Filed under: uncultured bacterium
Lineage: Bacteria
Description: partial 16S ribosomal RNA
Rfam family: Bacterial small subunit ribosomal RNA
Source: RNAcentral
GAUGAACGCUAACUACAGGCUUAACACAUGCAAGUCGAGGGGUAACGAGAGGAAAGCUUGCUUUCCUUGUCGACGACCGGCGCACGGGUGAGUAACGCGUAUCCAACCUGCCCCCAACUAGGGAAUAACCUUGCGAAAGUAAGACUGAUACCCUAUAAUUUCCUCAGAUGUCAUCUGACGAGGAAUAAAGAUUUAUCGGUUGUGGAUGGGGAUGCGUCUGAUUAGCUUGUUGGCGGGGUAACGGCCCACCAAGGCAACGAUCAGUAGGGGUUCAGAGAGGAAGGUCCCCCACAUUGGAACUGAGACACGGUCCAAACUCCUACGGGAGGCAGCAGUGAGGAAUAUUGGUCAAUGGGCGGAAGCCUGAACCAGCCAAGUAGCGUGCAGGAUGACGGCCCUAUGGGUUGUAAACUGCUUUUAUACAGGAAUAAAGUUAGCCACGUGUGGUUAUUUGUAGGUACUGUAUGAAUAAGGACCGGCUAAUUCCGUGCCAGCCGCCGCUGUAA